This is a long non-coding RNA of Pan paniscus (pygmy chimpanzee), 782 nucleotides long. The record is from Ensembl. NCBI's taxonomy places the organism in Eukaryota, Metazoa, Chordata, Mammalia, Primates, Hominidae.
GAGCCCAUUUAUUUUUUUGUUCCUCCAUGUAACCCCACAAAAAAUCACGUUUGUUCAAGAUAGCUUCAGUGAGACUCUAUCAAAUUGAAACGAACUGCAGGAACAGACACUUUUUCUCAGUGCAUGGCUGCCACUCUUGGAGAGCAGGAAAGAUGUGCAGUAGGAGCACCUGAGCGGCUCUUCACCACAGCUCAGGAGGGGAGGGGAGGACUCUGAGGCUCAGGAGGAGAGGGGAGGACUCCAUGCCUCAGGAAAAAUGGGAAGAAUACCACAAAGUCUGUGCAAGUUCUCUGCUGUCAAAUGGAGAAAAACAAAAACAAGGGUCAGAGAGCUAUUUUUAUUGAAGAUCUCAAGAAGGACCAAGUCAUUCAUCAAGUGGAGCGGAUGUGGUCAGGAAAAAGGACUGGCCAGAGAAAAUCCAUCUGCAGAGCCUCAUCCUUAUUGGUCAUUUUUCCCCAAAAGACAUCCCAGGAUUCCUGUAUCCUCUGAAUGUGACCCAUCGCCACCUUCAUCAUCAGCCUCAUCAUCAUCAAUGUUUACUUAUUUUAACCAAUAGAUACACAAUAUAAAAUGCUUGGGUGAAGAAUAGCAUUUUUUGAACUCACCUUUAAUACAGAGAAGUAUGGAGCGGUUAAACAAAUAAAAGGAUAGGCUACAAUCUCAAUUUUGAUAAAUCAAUUUUUAAAAACCUGUCAAUGGUUAUAAAAUGCAAAUAUACAAAUAGGUAUAUUUGCAUAAUUUGUUUAUUUACCGUCUGAUUGAUGGACACAUCCUACUUAUUU